GCCCUCGUGUUGAAAUUGGAUAUCAUUUCUGCCUUCGAAGCAGACAUUCCUGGUUCGAGUCCAGGCGAGGGCA
RNAcentral lists this transfer RNA (73 nucleotides) under Candidatus Staskawiczbacteria bacterium. Its description in RNAcentral is "tRNA-Arg". It matches the Rfam family "tRNA". Rfam says of the family: Transfer RNA (tRNA) molecules are approximately 80 nucleotides in length. Lineage: Bacteria; Candidatus Staskawicziibacteriota. The record is from RNAcentral.